AAAGGGGCAUUUAAUAUUCCAACUUAAAAUUGACGGGUUUUGAAAAGUGAAUAAUUGAAACGAUGUUUUUCUCCAUUUCAGCUGAUCAAAAUUAUUAGCAAAACCAUCUGAGGCACCUUCUGGUAGAAUUGUAGUCUUGCUGGGUUUAGUUUGUAAAACAUUCUGCCAGACAUUAAAAAAAAAAAAAAAAAAAUUACCAUUUCUCAUGCGGACCCCCGCCCCCCACCCUCUGCAGAUUGAUUUACCCACGAUUCUAUUUUCUACAUCAGGGGCCCCUCCCUCCAUAUUGGGACCGUGAGUCUGUUUUCCAUUUUCAAAGAUCCUUAAUAUCAAAAAUUUUGAUAAUUUGUGAAGCAGGCUGUCAAAAGAAAUUAGACCAGUAUAGGCACGUUCAGUUAACAUUUCAUCUCUGCAUCCUCAAGACUCUGGGAAUGAAGAUGUGGAGAGAAACCAGUAAGCAAAUAGGUCCUGUCACCCUGACUCCGCUGAGUGCAUCCGAAGCCUGUCCUGCCUUUUUGCCCAUGUCCUAUUUUGACACAAAUGGUUUAUCAGCUUCAAAAAUACACAGGUUUUUUUUAAGCACCAAAUGGUGUCUUUCUCUUUCCCACUUCAGAAGAUAUUAGGAAUUAGAGUUUAAUGUUAAUUUUUUUAAAAGUAAGCAGGUUUGAAUACAUUCCACUUGCCAGUGUCUGCCCAUUCCCGGGGUGCUUUCUGUCGCACCCUCAGAAUGCUGUCAAGCUUUAGCUUUGGCGGUGCUGUCCUUCCUACCGCAGGCCACCUGGCAGACAAAUUCUAGUGAAACUCAAGCAUUCCUUAUAAUUAUAUUUUUAUUUUAAGUGUGUUUAGUAGCCUACGUUCACAGAAGAUCUUUCAUCAAGAUUUGCUUCUCUAAGGAGUUUCCAUUGUGACGUGGUGGAAACGAAUCCCACUAGUAACCGUGAGGUUGCAGCUAUGAUCCCUGCCCUUGCUCCGUGGGUUAAGGACCUGGCAUUGCUGUGUUGCUGUGGCUGUGGCGUGGGUCAGCGGCUACAGCUUCAAUUCGACCCCUGGCCUGGGAACUUCCAUAUGCC
RNAcentral lists this long non-coding RNA (1070 nucleotides) under Sus scrofa (pig). Its description in RNAcentral is "lncRNA (ENSSSCG00000056122.1)". The record is from RNAcentral. Lineage: Eukaryota; Metazoa; Chordata; Mammalia; Artiodactyla; Suidae.